This 468-nucleotide ribosomal RNA is filed under the name uncultured bacterium. RNAcentral describes it as "partial 16S ribosomal RNA". It matches the Rfam family "Bacterial small subunit ribosomal RNA", at positions 28 to 507 of the family's 1533-position model. The record is from RNAcentral.
GACGAACGCUGGCGGCGUGCUUAACACAUGCAAGUCGAACGGUGAAGCUCCAGCUUGCUGGAGUGGAUCAGUGGCGAACGGGUGAGUAACACGUGAGCAACCUGCCCCUGACUCUGGAAUAAGCGCUGGAAACGGCGUCUAAUACUGGAUACGAGAAGGGUCCGCAUGGGCACUUUCUGGAAAGUUUUUCGGUUGGGGAUGGGCUCGCGGCCUAUCAGCUUGUUGGUGAGGUAAUGGCUCACCAAGGCGACGACGGGUAGCCGGCCUGAGAGGGCGACCGGCCACACUGGGACUGAGACACGGCCCAGACUCCUACGGGAGGCAGCAGUGGGGAAUAUUGCACAAUGGGCGAAAGCCUGAUGCAGCGACGCCGCGUGAGGGAUGACGGCCUUCGGGUUGUAAACCUCUUUCAGCAGGGAAGAAGCGAAAGUGACGGUUCCUGCAGAAGAAGCACCGGCUAACUACGUG